RNAcentral lists this ribosomal RNA (701 nucleotides) under uncultured bacterium. RNAcentral's name for it is "bacterial SSU rRNA". It matches the Rfam family "Bacterial small subunit ribosomal RNA", at positions 94 to 792 of the family's 1533-position model. The record is from RNAcentral.
ACCGGCGCACGGGUGAGUAACACGUAUGCAACCUGCCCCUGUCAGGGGGACAACCCGCCGAAAGGCGGGCUAAACCCGCGUACAUGCCACCGGGGCAUCCCGGAGGCAGGAAAGGCUUCGGCCGGACAGGGAUGGGCAUGCGGCGCAUUAGGCAGUAGGCGGGGUAACGGCCCACCUAACCGACGAUGCGUAGGGGUUCUGAGAGGAAGGUCCCCCACACUGGAACUGAGACACGGUCCAGACUCCUACGGGAGGCAGCAGUGAGGAAUAUUGGUCAAUGGGCGCAAGCCUGAACCAGCCAAGUCGCGUGAGGGAAGACGGCCCUACGGGUUGUAAACCUCUUUUGCCGGGGAGCAAGCCUGAGCACGUGUGCCCAGGCGGAGAGUACCCGGAGAAAAAGCAUCGGCUAACUCCGUGCCAGCAGCCGCGGUAAUACGGAGGAUGCGAGCGUUAUCCGGAUUUAUUGGGUUUAAAGGGUGCGCAGGCGGGCUGUUAAGCCGGCGGUAAAAAUUCAGGGCUCAACCCUGUCGAGCCGUCGGAACUGGCAGUCUUGAGUGGGCGAGAAGUAUGCGGAAUGCGUGGUGUAGCGGUGAAAUGCAUAGAUAUCACGCANAACGCCGAUUGCGAAGGCAGCAUACCGGCGCCCAACUGACGCUNANGCACGAAAGCGUGGGGAUCGAACAGGAUUAGGUACCCUGGUA